AUGUGUGUACCCAAGAACCAAGGAGGAAUGGGUUUUCGGGAUAUCCAUUGUUUCAAUUUGGCUAUGCUUGCUAAACAGGCUUGGCGUCUUCUCGAGAAUCCGGAUUCUCUAUGUGCUACUAUUUUGAGAGUCAAAUACUAUCCUGACGGUGACUUGUUGAACACUGACCUGAAGAAGGGUUCUUCCUUCACCUGGCAAAGUAUUAUGGUGGGUGUGAGCUCCCUGAAGCGUGGUCAUAUUUGGCGAGUGGGAAACGGGCAGAAUAUUGACAUUUGGGAGGACGCAUGGAUUCCAAAUUGUGCAAACCGUAAAAUUGUUACCCAUACGGGAGGCCAGUUGUUAUGGAAGGUAGCAGAUUUGAUUGAUCCAAUCCUAAAUAGUUGGGAUGAAGAUCUUCUCAGACAGACUCUAUGGCCUAUUGAUGUUCAGCGAGUGCUUACGAUCCCGAUAUCGCAACAUGAUAUGCCAGAUUUUAGCUUGGAAUUUCACAAAAAUGGGAUUUUUUUGGUUCGGUCUGCUUAUUUUGUGGAAUGGGACCACCAAUAUGGGAACAAGUUACGACAUACCAAUGGGAUGGGACGUACCACGGUCAAUCCUAUUUGGGUGAGGAUUUGGAAACUUGCUUGUCCAGCAAAGGUUAAAAUAUUUAUUUGGCGUACACUUCAUGGCACUAUUCUGUGUCGUGUUAACUUAGCUAAUAGACAUGUGAAAGUCUCGCCUAAGUGUCCUGCCUACUCAUCUGGGCCAGAAGACACAAAACAUUUGUUGUUUCUAUGUGACAGAGCAAAAGAAGUCCAAAGAAGACUAGGGAUGGACGAUAUUAUC
This 825-nucleotide ribosomal RNA is filed under the name Triticum aestivum (bread wheat). RNAcentral's name for it is "partial small subunit ribosomal RNA". The record is from RNAcentral. Lineage: Eukaryota; Viridiplantae; Streptophyta; Magnoliopsida; Poales; Poaceae.